Molecule: long non-coding RNA, 1713 nt
Organism: Coregonus clupeaformis (lake whitefish)
Lineage: Eukaryota; Metazoa; Chordata; Actinopteri; Salmoniformes; Salmonidae
Exons: 2
Source: RefSeq, a predicted model, not a curated record
ACCAGCACUCAGGCGCUGCACAGGGUACCAUCUACAUCGGCUGCCCUCCUGGCAACCGCCUGGCGUUUGACAUCACCACCACCCUGGAGCAGUGUGCCCGCAAUAAGGGCUACUUCAACUGCCCCAACCCCGACCCCCUCAUGCUUCUACUACGAAGACUUGUUCUAUCCCUUCUUCUUGAUCCAGGACAUCAGUCUCAUCCCCUCUUGUCCUGCUUUUGUUUACUGAAACAAAAACAAAACAUUUGUAUACAUGAAUUGCUGUUAAAGCCCAUGGCUUGAUAUCAUACAGUCUCUAUUUAUUACACUACAGCUAGGUGGAGGAGCUUACUCGAAAGAUCACAUCCACCUCUACACUCCAGAGGUGCUGCUGAUAUACAACAGCCUCAACUAUAGGUGAUGAAGUUGCACUGGAAAACACACAGGAGGACCAAAAUGUAUCAUUUUAGUAUAUUAGAACAAGGUUGGCGUGAUAUACGCUACCAAUAGAGAUGCAUAUUUGUUGGACUCCCCCUGGAAAGUCCCCCUGGUUUCUCAGUCUAUCCCAGAGGACACUGGUUUGGAUGUUUGAAGACAUGGACAACAAUGUCAACGUCACUGAGGAAGGAUUUAUGGUCAUGCAUGGCACUACAAACAAGAUUUGAUAACCCUCCAUAUAAUCAGUAUACUAAAAAGAUACUCUUCCCAUUCUUUCACCCUCUUGUCUGUAAUGCUGUGAAUUCAUCUGAGCAUACUAAGGUGCAUCUUUAUGAGUCUUGGCAUAGUUUCUACCCUGGUCCUGUUUGUGCUGUAUAGCCUGAACUCAUGUGGUCUUUGUCAAUACCAAACCUUGAGUUGGCUAUACAGCACUAACAGGCUACAUACUGGUCUACCUGGGGAUGUGUGUUGCGGUGCAGUUGGUGUUCUGCGUUACAUGUGUAUAGGGUUAACUGUUAAGUGCCCUGUGUUCCUCUUUAGGGGUAUACAUUUGAGUACGUACUGUGACUAUGCAUUGCGGUUUAUACUCCACAUGCAUGGAUUCCUGUUGGACCCCACCAGAGGCCUGUUCUACAUGCUGGUGUGGUCCCUGGCGUUUUCAAAAUGGUUAAAUUAAUAAAUUAAACGGUACCCUAUUCAGUGCACGACUUGCUCUAGUCAAAAGUAGUGCACUAAAUAGGAUGCCAUUUGGGAUACAACCAUGGACUCAAAUAGAAUAUAACCACAAAUCAUGACAUAUCUCCCCUUUCAGUACUGUUGUCAAAGUAUUACAUUUGGUUGACCUGUUGUUUCCUUCCUCCAGAUGACCCUGGCCACCAUGACCAUAGUUGGAAUCCUCUUCUGCUUCAUUGUGUAUAACUGCUGUGUUCCAGGCUUGAAUAACCUGUUUAAGGCCUUAUAUCUACUAAUUGAAAGGAAAGAUCACAGCCCUGUAGUUCACCAUUAACUUUAUUAAAACAGACAGGCAGUAUUAACAUGGAAUUUUUAUUUCAGAAUAGGAGCAGUUCUUCCUUCCAAGGUCAAAUGUACAGAACAAAUCAAAUUCAACAUUAAGUUUUUUUAAACGAUACACUCACUGGUACAAAAUAUUGCCCGUAAUAUUAUCACUUAAGUUAAAGGAAAACGCUUGUCGGUCUCAUACAUUUUGUUUCUGAUUCAUACAGGGGACUUGUAGAAGAUGUGAAUGCAAUAUACACUAUGCAUGGACACAGAGCAUUACAGAUUUGGGAGGGGUCAG